AAUCUUCAUUAUUACAUUUUACGUAGGACAUGAAUACAUCCAUAUUUAUUAGCUUAGUAACAAAGAAAUAAAUCAUAUCAAAUCAGAUCAAUUCACAUAUAAACCUCCCUAAUCCAAAAAAUCCGAUUUAAUUCUCGAUCUAAUGUUUACUCUAUAAAUAGGAUCUAAAAUUACAAUGAAAAUCAUCCAUAAUUUACAAAUUUACUAUCCUAAAGUUGUUGCUCUUCACAUCGAAGAACAACAACAACUAAACCCUAAUCUAAGCUUCAACCAUCUCUGCAACGAAAAAAAGAAAAGAAGGGGAGUUAGAAGGAAUUCGAGGUAGAAAGAGGAAAGAAAGAGAAAAGAGUUAAAAGAAGAGAAACUAUACCUUUGCUCAAACCAGGAAAAUCCUCAUCCCUAUAGGUUGGUCCUCUAUUCAUGUCUUGAUCUAUUGCAUGAUGCUUGGGUUUAAUUGUGUGUUUGAUGUGUGUUAGUCCCUGAACUAAGUAAUAACCUGUUUCAAAUGAAAAAAAACAUAACCAAAAUAAGUUUUUAAAUCAAUCCGUGUCCUGUUUCAACAUCAAGAAAAAUACCCCAUCCAUAACUAAAAUCUGUUUCAAAUUAAUCAAUAACUAAAAUCUGUUUCGAAUCAUAAACAUACUCUUCUUCAACUCAAAACCAUACCUUGUUUAAAAUUCAAACCACACCCAGUUUCAAUUUAAAUUAACACCCCUGUAAAAAAAAAUCUUUUUCAAAACACAAAUCAAGUUUAACACUAAUUUUUGUAGAACCAAUACACAAUUUCACAUCCAAAUAUUACCCCGGUAGAAAAAAUUUCAAAACCGAAUUGAAACUAAUAGUAUCCUUUCAACUAAAAAGAACUAUACUCUAUUUCAAUCAAAAACCAAUUUAGAGUCAAAAUAAUCCCCCCCCCCCCNCCCCCCCCCCGAGCCAAAUCAAAAAACGAAACAGAACUGAAUAAAAAAAACAAAAUCAAAACUGACACGAGCUUCACAAUUGCAUCGUCGGCUUCCGUAGAUACCUCAUCCACAUCUGCACACCCCUAUCCCUCAUGAGUCUGCCGACCCUCCAUCAUGCUACCAUGAUUGCGCCGCUUCGUCACGAUUACGCCGACCAUCGCUCUGCCGUGAACACCACCCUUUCUAGCCUCUUUCAAUUUUGUGAGUGCUCGCCUUGUGGAUUUGAGCUCAUUGUUGUUUGGAUUUGUGUUGUUGAGAUUGAUCCAAGUGAAGUGUUAUAUUCAUUUUUGUAAGUGCAACUUUCCGAUAGAUGUAUUUUGUAUGAUGUCAAAACUAGGAUACUUUAGCAUUUAUGUAUAUUGGAUGUAUCCUCUAAGUCUAAAUGUGCAUCUUAGUAUCAGGAAACAUAACAACAUGUUAGAAAAGGUUUAAGAAAGGUUUCGUGCAUCAAAAACUGGUUUUUAUGUGAAAAACAGUCUAUGUGUCGACACAUCGUGCUAUAGGUCGACAAAUAGAAGAUUUUUUUUCUACAGGUCGACAUAUACGAGCUUCAGGUCGACACAUGUAACUCAUAUUUAAAGCCUACAACUUCUUUUUUGUGUGCCGCCUCUACAUGUCGACAUAUGCAUCGUAUGUGCCGACACAUGACUUACAUGGUGUCUUAUAACAAAAAUAAAAAUCCUUUUGACAAUCACCUUAAUAAAAAUAACAUAAAUAAAAAUAUCAUUUAAUGAAUAAUUUACAUUUUCUUCAGAUGCAAAUGUAACUUUAUAUUCAUCCAUGGUGUCUUUUAUAUUAAAAAAGUAUAAAAAACACUUGAGAAAAAUAGAGAUAUUAGAAGGAAAAAAAAUCACAAAAUAGUAAAAAUUUAGCAAGAUCAAUAACACACAAAUUCUGUCAUCAUCCUUUUGGUUACUUCUAUGACCAAUAAACUUAAAAAACUUUAGAGAGGUUCAAGAAAAAUAAUAUAAGAAUUAGAGUAAAUAUUUUAAUGUCAUAAAAUUCUCAGUAUAAAAAAUAUCAGUAACAUUAAAACCAAAACUUAAAUUCAAAACCCUAUUCAAGUCAAAUAAUAACACACAACUCAUUAUAAACUUCAUUCUCUUCCUAAAUACAUAUAGAAUUUCAUUAUAUAACAAAAAGAAAAACAUAAGAAGAAAAUGUUAC
Molecule: long non-coding RNA, 2129 nt
Filed under: Lathyrus oleraceus (garden pea)
Lineage: Eukaryota; Viridiplantae; Streptophyta; Magnoliopsida; Fabales; Fabaceae
Description: Pisum sativum (pea) long non-coding RNA (PSAT_LNC037641)
Source: RNAcentral